This 336-nucleotide long non-coding RNA is filed under the name Triticum aestivum (bread wheat). Its description in RNAcentral is "long non-coding RNA (TAES_LNC017129)". Lineage: Eukaryota; Viridiplantae; Streptophyta; Magnoliopsida; Poales; Poaceae. The record is from RNAcentral.
GCCCAAUCAAAGGAGAAGAUGACUUGGGCGGAGGUGAUGACGGUGACUUGGCCCCUCCUCCUCAUCCAGGGAGCAGUCAUAUGGCUCCUCCACCUCCCCCAUCUCCAAAGAGCCAUCCACCUCCACCUCCAAAGACUGAUUUGGCUCCUCCUCCACCACCUCGAACUCCAAAGAGCAAUACACCUCCACCUCCACCAGCACCGACACCGAUACAACCGCCUCCAGGACCCUGUGUGGAAGUGAGGUUGUACAAAGGGCCAUGCGUCAACAUACUUUGCGCGGCCGCUUGUGUCGCGGAGUUGCAUCAGGGUGGCCACUGUCGUGGGAAUAUUUUUU